UUGCUCUAUUGUCCAGGCUGGAGUACAGUGGCAUGAUCUUGGCUCACUGCAACCUCCAUCUCCCGAUUCAAGCAAUUCUCCUGCCUCUGCCUCCCAAGUAGCUGGGAUUACAGGCACACACCACCACACCCAGCUAAUUUUUGUAUUUUUAGUAGAGACGGGGUUUUACCAUGUUGGCCAGGGUGGUCUCAAACUCCUGACUUCAACUGAUCUGCCCACCUAGGCCUCCCAAAGUGCCAGGAUGACAAGCAUGAGCCACUGCGCCUGGCAGUGCUUCAAUUUCUGAUGCUCUUCCAAUAUGAUGUUACACGAAGGACCAGCCUGGCGUUGGUGGUGGUAACCCAAGGGAGGAGGAGCAAGCCAGAUGCAAGGGCAGUGGACUAAUGUGGUCGUUUCCCUCCCCAGGCCUUGGGACCUUUAUGUAACCCUGGUUCUUACUGGACAGACCUAGGAUUUGUCUAGCUGGAAGGGCCUUCCAAAGUUGCUGUCUCUACUCUUCUAGUUUUACACAGGACAAAGCUAAAGCCCAGAGGGUGAAUGACUUCUUUGAAGCUGGCUGAGGCCAAAAUUGAAACUAGAACUUUAUCUUUUAGAAGGAAAAUGUAUGCAGGACAAUUUUCUUUUCCUUCCUUCCUUCCUCUCUCCCUCCUUCCCUUCCUUGGUAAAUAUUCUUUACAUUUUAUUACCCUUUUAUUUUUCAGAAUAAAUCCUACUCCAGCUUACAAGUCUAUUUUGCUCUUGUCUGGAGAACACGGUUGUGGGAAGUCCACUCUGAUUGCCAACUGGGUUAAUUACUUCAAAAAGAAACAUCCGAGCAUGUUGUUGAUUCCUCAUUUUGUGGGCAGCACCUGUGAAAGCAGCUACAUCAUGUCUGUGAUCCAUGACUUCAUCACGGAAUUACAGUACAGAAACUACGGUACUCAGCUUGAAACAGAUAUUCUUAACGAAGACUCAGAUGGCUUGGUCUUUUCACUUCUUGUGGAAGUAUUCAUUGCUUCCAUCAGUUUAAAGCCAUACAUACUUGUACUAGAUGGAAUUGAAGAACUGAUUGGCAUUUAUGGGAUUUCAGGUCAGAAGGUAACGUCUUUUUAAAAUAACCCCUAUUUUAUCACAACUUUAUAAAAAUAAAACAAUUUAAAAGAAGAAAUACAAAGAAUAAAAACUUCAUUAUUUAGGAUGUAUUAUAUAUAACACCUUUCCAUUGUAUCACACAUCUCUGGUUUUAGCCAACACUGCUUUUAGUUACUGCUUUAUAUUUUAAUUAAUUAAGAGACAGGGUCUUGCUGUGUCGCCCAAGCUGGAGUGCAGUGGGAUGAUCAUAGCUCACUGUAACCUCCAACUCCUGGGCUCAAGCCAUCCUCUUGCCUCAGCUUCCAGACUGCAGGCGCACACCACCAUGCCUGGCCAAUUUUUUUCAACUUUUUGUAGAGAUGAGGUUUUGCUAUGUUGCCCAGUCUGAUCCUGAACUCCUGGGCUCAAGCAAGCUUCCCAGCCUGCCUUCCAAAGUGCUGGGAUUACAGGUGUGAGCCACCGCACCCAGCCCUGCUCUAUAUUUUAUUGAACAAAUACUUCUAUAAUGUAUUUACAAUGGGCCAGGCACCAUUUUAGGAACUUUAAGAACAUUAAUGCAUUUGGCUGGGCAUGGUGGCUCACGCCCGUAAUCCCAGCACUUUGGGAGGCCGAGGAGGGCGGAUCACCUGAGGUCAGGAGUUCAAGACCAGCCUGGCCAACAUGGUGAAACCCCAUCUCUACUAAAAAUACAAAAAUUAGCUGGGCGUGGUGGCAGGUGCCUGUAAUCCCAGCUACUUGGGAGGCUGAGGCAGGAGAAUUGCUUGAACCCGGGAGGCAGAGGUUGCAGUGAGCCAAGGUUGUACCAUUGCACUCCAGUCUGGGCAACAGGAGUGAAACUCCAUCUCCAAAAAAACAAAAACAAAAACAAAAACAAAAAAGAAUAUUAAUGCAUUUAAUUCGCACAACAACCAUAUGAAGAAGAGACUGUGCUCAUCUUCCCUAUUUACACAAGGCGAACUGCGCACAGAGAUGGUAGGUGGCUUGUCUAAGGUCCUAAGAUGGUUAAGUGGUGGACUCAGAAUUCAGACAUGGGCAUUCUGGUUCCAGCCACUGAGGCCUUUCCCCAUGCACAUAUCUGCCCCCUAUUUUAUACUUUGAUCAGUCUUACUGUUUUUUGUGUUUUAUAGUUUGGCCUACCUCAUCUUCACUGGUUUUACACAUACAAAAUCGCAUUCAUGGGUUGUCAUCUUCAGUUUUUCUCCUGUUUGAAAUAAUAUUGGAUCAGUGGAACCUCUACUAAUACUUGGCACUAGUUAUUACUUUGGGAAGCAGCUUCUUUAAAACUCAAAACUAUAUGUAAUCAAUCAAUUAUGUGAAUAAGAUCUGUUUCUCAUAGAAAAUAUGAUAAAAAAGAAGAAAAUAGGAAAUUAAAUACACUCAUAGUCUCACCACUGGUAACUAUUUUGCUGCUGUAUACCCUUUUUCCUAUGGAUAUCUAUAUAUACA
Molecule: long non-coding RNA, 2517 nt
Organism: Pan troglodytes (chimpanzee)
Lineage: Eukaryota; Metazoa; Chordata; Mammalia; Primates; Hominidae
Source: Ensembl